UUCAUGUUUUGGUCUCCGGCUCCUUGUGUUUAGUUUGUUUGUUAUUUUUCCUGUUUUACUUUGGAGGUGCAUGUCUUAUGUUAAUGUAUCUGGUUUUGCUUCCCCUGUUUCGUUAGCCCUGAUUUGCCCCAGCUGUGUUUCCCUCCUGUUACCCAUUCCCUGAUUGCUCCCUCUGUGUAUUUAAGCCCUGUGUUUUUCUGUGUCCGUGUCGUGAUCUACCCUUAUCCACCCUCUUCUUCCUGUGUGUUCUGUCUGCUUGUGAACUCAAGGAAAACAGUCUGUUCCAGUCCAGCUCUCUCUCUCCCCGCUCGACUCUGGCUUCACUAUAUAGAGAAAUAGAAAGAGACUCCAUCAUCAGUCAAUCACCACCACCUGUGCUCACCUGCUUCCCGGUACUGAUCCCUUGAGCUCACUGCACCACUCCUCCCCUGCAGCUGCACCAGGGACCACACCUCAGCCACAACUGUAUUUCUUGUGUAACAAUUGUAAAAGAUCAUUUUUUUUAUUUGCUUGGAUGAAUCCGUCAUUUCAGUACAUCUUUAUUGUCUUCAUUAUCUUUUUUUUUUCAACACUUAUUGGUUCCACAAUAAGUGGAACCAUGCUGAAGGUAUUUCUGCUUGGAUGCUUCCUAUGCCUCACUCCAGUUCAACCAAUUGUCAAUGUGUAUGAAAAGUAUGGUGGCUCUCACCACGGCUGAUAUGAGAUCACCAACAACAACAAUAUUUCCCUGCAGCAACUUCUCUCUGUCCUCCUACAAGCACCUGCUAAAACCACUACAACAGCUGCACCCACUACAACUCCCUGAAAUCUG
Long non-coding RNA from Oreochromis aureus, 811 nucleotides. The record is from Ensembl. NCBI's taxonomy places the organism in Eukaryota, Metazoa, Chordata, Actinopteri, Cichliformes, Cichlidae.